UACGAAGGGGGCUAGCGUUGUUCGGAAUUACUGGGCGUAAAGCGCACGUAGGCGGAUUAGUAGGUCAGGGGUGAAAUCCCGGGGCUCAACCUCGGAACUGCCUUUGAUACUGCUGAUCUCGAGUCCGGAAGAGGUGAGUGGAAGUCCUAGUGUAGAGGUGAAAUUCGUAGAUAUUAGGAAGAACACCAGUGGCGAAGGCGGCUAUCUGGACGGUUUCUGACACUAAGACUCGAAAGCGUGGGGAGCAAACAGG
RNAcentral lists this ribosomal RNA (253 nucleotides) under uncultured bacterium. Its description in RNAcentral is "partial 16S ribosomal RNA". It matches the Rfam family "Bacterial small subunit ribosomal RNA", at positions 524 to 776 of the family's 1533-position model. The record is from RNAcentral.